GCCCCCGUAGCUCAGUAGGAUAGAGCGACGGAUUCCUAAUCCGCAGGUCGGAGGUUCGACUCCUCUCGGGGGUACCA
Molecule: transfer RNA, 77 nt
Filed under: Muiribacterium halophilum (SeqCode)
Lineage: Bacteria; Candidatus Muiribacteriota; Muiribacteriia (SeqCode); Muiribacteriaceae (SeqCode)
Description: bacterium BM706 tRNA-Arg
Rfam family: tRNA
About the family: Transfer RNA (tRNA) molecules are approximately 80 nucleotides in length. Their secondary structure includes four short double-helical elements and three loops (D, anti-codon, and T loops). Further hydrogen bonds mediate the characteristic L-shaped molecular structure. tRNAs have two regions of fundamental functional importance: the anti-codon, which is responsible for specific mRNA codon recognition, and the 3' end, to which the tRNAs corresponding amino acid is attached (by aminoacyl-tRNA synthetases). tRNAs cope with the degeneracy of the genetic code in two manners: having more than one tRNA (with a specific anti-codon) for a particular amino acid; and 'wobble' base-pairing, i.e. permitting non-standard base-pairing at the 3rd anti-codon position.
Source: RNAcentral